GCGAGCCUGAUGCAGCCAUGCCGCGUGAAUGAUGAAGGCCUUAGGGUUGUAAAAUUCUUUCGCCAGGGAUGAUAAUGACAGUACCUGGUAAAGAAGCCCCGGCUAACUUCGUGCCAGCAGCCGCGGUAAUACGAAGGGGGCUAGCGUUGUUCGGAAUUACUGGGCGUAAAGCGCACGUAGGCGGACUUUUAAGUCAGAUGUGAAAUCCCGGGGCUCAACCUCGGAACUGCAUUUGAAACUGGAAGUCUAGAGACCAGGAGAGGUUAGCGGAAUACCGAGUGUAGAGGUGAAAUUCGUAGAUAUUCGGUGGAACACCAGUGGCGAAGGCGGCUAACUGGACUGGUACUGACGCUGAGGUGCGAAAGUGUGGGGAGCAAACAGGAUUAGAUACCCUGGUAGUCCACACCGUAAACGAUGAGAGCUAGUUGUUGGCAGGCAUGCCUGUCGGUGACGCAGCUAACGCAUUAAGCUCUCCGCCUGGGGAGUACGGUCGCAAGAUUAAAACUCAAAU
RNAcentral lists this ribosomal RNA (511 nucleotides) under Hyphomonas sp. RNAcentral describes it as "bacterial SSU rRNA". It matches the Rfam family "Bacterial small subunit ribosomal RNA", at positions 377 to 906 of the family's 1533-position model. Lineage: Bacteria; Pseudomonadati; Pseudomonadota; Alphaproteobacteria; Hyphomonadales; Hyphomonadaceae. The record is from RNAcentral.